GUAUUAUAUGCUGAUGUUAAAGAUUAAGCCAUGCAUGUGUAAGUUUAAAGACCAAGUAGGAUGAAACUGCGGACGGCUCAUUAUAACAGUAAUAGUUUCUUUGGUUAGUCGGUACAAGGAUAACUUUGUGAAUGAUAAAGCUAAUACUUGAGACGAUCCGGGAAGUAUUUAUACUUUCCGGCCCUCGGCCGCGAGGUUGGGGAGAAACGACAUUCUCUUGUGAAAAAGGAUGCCGCGACAAUUGAGGAAAGCGACGCUUUUAACAAGUAACCAAUGGGAAUUUCUGAUCUAUCAAUUUGUUGGUAGUAUCGAGGACUACCAAGAUUAUAACGGAUAACGAGGAAUUGGGGUUCGACAUCGGAGAGGGAGCUUUACAGAUGGCUACCACUUCUAAGGAAGGCAGCAGGCGCGUAAAUUACCCACUUUCGACCCGAAGAGGUAGUGACGACAAAUAACUCUUGGCGCCCCUCGGGGUGACUUGAAGGAAUGAUUUAGAAGUAAAUUCUCUAAAGAAAUCAAUUGGAGGGCAAGUCUGGUGCCAGCAGCCGCGGUAAUUCCAG
Molecule: ribosomal RNA, 560 nt
Filed under: Entamoeba bovis
Lineage: Eukaryota; Evosea; Mastigamoebida; Endamoebidae
Description: SSU rRNA
Rfam family: Eukaryotic small subunit ribosomal RNA
Source: RNAcentral